GCCUAACGGCUGAACCAGCAACUUGGAGGAAUGUAUAGCAAUAGCUAAUUGCAUCAAUGUUUAAAUAAUUGAUGCAAUAUCGACUCUGUCGAAUAAAAUUCUAGGUAGAAUUAUGAUAAUGACAUUGUCUGCCUAUGUGUCUUGACCAAAUUACGUGCCAGCAGUCGCGGUAAUACGUAGAAGACUAGUGUUAUUCAUCUUUAAUAGGUUUAAAGGGUACCUAGACGGUAAAUCAAGCCUGCAAUAUGGGACUAAUGUACUAGAGUUACUUACGAGGGGGUAUUAAAGUACUGCUGGUGUAGAGAUGAAAUUCUGUCAUACCUCAUUUCAUAAGAAAUACUAUGGCACAGGUAUAGGCGAAAGCAUCCCCUUAUGUGAUAACUGACGUUGAAGGACGAAGGCUUUGUGUAGCGAACAGGAUUAGAUACCCCAGUAGUCAAAGCAGAAAAUGAUGAAUGUCAUAGAUUAGACAUAUAAUAGUUUAUUCUAUAAAUGAAAGUGUAAGCAUUCCACCUCAAGAGUAAUUUGGCAACAUUGGAACUGAAAUCAUUAGACCGUUUCUGAAACCAGUAGUGAAGUAUGUUGUUUAAUUUGAUAAUCCGCAAAAAACCUUACCACAAUUUGAAUAUUUAGAUUUUUGUUUCUUUUUUAUUUUUUUUGUGUUUGUGUUGCGUUGCAUUACGUUACGUUAGCAUCAAAAAUAAAAAAAACAAGAAGGGAAGAGAAAUCCAUUUACAAGCGUUGCACGGCUGUCUUCAGUUAAUGUCGUGAGAUUCUGGUUAGUUCCAUUAAUUAACGUAAACCCUUACUUUAUUUUUAUAUAGAGUUGUUCCCCGCUAGAUUGGAUAAGAUAACAGGGACUAAGACAAGUCAUCAUGGCCUAAAUAUUGUGGGCUAUAGACGUGCCACAUAAACCUUACAAAAGGAUGUGAAAUUGUGAAAUUGAGCUAAUCCCCC
Molecule: ribosomal RNA, 957 nt
Filed under: Rhizoplaca melanophthalma
Lineage: Eukaryota; Fungi; Ascomycota; Lecanoromycetes; Lecanorales; Lecanoraceae
Description: SSU rRNA
Rfam family: Bacterial small subunit ribosomal RNA
Source: RNAcentral